This 253-nucleotide ribosomal RNA is filed under the name uncultured bacterium. RNAcentral describes it as "partial 16S ribosomal RNA". It matches the Rfam family "Bacterial small subunit ribosomal RNA", at positions 524 to 776 of the family's 1533-position model. The record is from RNAcentral.
UACGGAGGGUGCAAGCGUUAUCCGGAUUUACUGGGUUUAAAGGGUGCGUAGGUGGGCCUGUAAGUCAGUGGUGAAAUCUUCAAGCUUAACUUGGAAACUGCCAUUGAUACUAUAGGUCUUGAAUUAUCUGGAGGUAAGCGGAAUAUGUCAUGUAGCGGUGAAAUGCUUAGAGAUGACAUAGAACACCCAUUGCGAAGGCAGCUUACUACGGAUUGAUUGACACUGAGGCACGAAAGCGUAGGGAUCAAACAGG